This 495-nucleotide ribosomal RNA is filed under the name uncultured bacterium. Its description in RNAcentral is "partial 16S ribosomal RNA". It matches the Rfam family "Bacterial small subunit ribosomal RNA", at positions 28 to 507 of the family's 1533-position model. The record is from RNAcentral.
GAUGAACGCUGGCGGCGUGCCUAAUACAUGCAAGUAGAACGCUGAAGGAGGAGCUUGCUCUUCUGGAUGAGUUGCGAACGGGUGAGUAACGCGUAGGUAACCUGCCUGGUAGCGGGGGAUAACUAUUGGAAACGAUAGCUAAUACCGCAUGACAACAGUUAUUGCAUGAUAACUGUUUAAAAGGGGCAACUGCUCCACUACCAGAUGGACCUGCGUUGUAUUAGCUAGUUGGUGAGGUAACGGCUCACCAAGGCGACGAUACAUAGCCGACCUGAGAGGGUGAUCGGCCACACUGGGACUGAGACACGGCCCAGACUCCUACGGGAGGCAGCAGUAGGGAAUCUUCGGCAAUGGACGGAAGUCUGACCGAGCAACGCCGCGUGAGUGAAGAAGGUUUUCGGAUCGUAAAGCUCUGUUGCAAGAGAAGAACGAGUGUGAGAGUGGAAAGUUCACACUGCGACGGUAUCUUACCAGAAAGGGACGGCUAACUACGUG